RNAcentral lists this long non-coding RNA (324 nucleotides) under Gallus gallus (chicken). The record is from RNAcentral. Lineage: Eukaryota; Metazoa; Chordata; Aves; Galliformes; Phasianidae.
CUGGGACACUGGAAGCACGAUGUAAACUGCCGUUGUGCAGAGAGCCUCGGCUCUUCCUGGCCAGCGUCUGCUGGACCUGCCGGUGGAUCCGGAGCGCCUUCUCCUCCCCGCCCGACAGCUUGAGGCCGGCCUCGGAGGGCAGCGCCAGGCUGGAGCUGUCCAGCUCGCCUAGGAUUUGCUGGCCCAGCACGGUGCGGAUGUAGCCCUGCUCGCCGCCGGGGCCGCGGCCGGCCAUGGGUGCGUGAGGUGGCGGCGCGGGGCCGGGGCCGCGUCGCUCGGAGACCUGUUGCGCCGCCGCUCCCGCGCCGGAGCUCAGGCUGCCGC